UGGGGAAUUUUGGACAAUGGGGGAAACCCUGAUCCAGCCAUCCCGCGUGUGCGAUGAAGGCCUUCGGGUUGUAAAGCACUUUUGGCAGGAAAGAAACGUCGCGGGUUAAUACCCCGCGAAACUGACGGUACCUGCAGAAUAAGCACCGGCUAACUACGUGCCAGCAGCCGCGGUAAUACGUAGGGUGCAAGCGUUAAUCGGAAUUACUGGGCGUAAAGCGUGCGCAGGCGGUUCGGAAAGAAAGAUGUGAAAUCCCAGAGCUUAACUUUGGAACUGCAUUUUUAACUACCGGGCUAGAGUGUGUCAGAGGGAGGUGGAAUUCCGCGUGUAGCAGUGAAAUGCGUAGAUAUGCGGAGGAACACCGAUGGUGAAGGCAGCCUCCUGGGAUAACACUGACGCUCAUGCACGAAAAGCGUGGGGAGCAAACAGGAUUAGAUACCCUGGUAGUCCACGCCCUAAACGAUGUCAACUAGCUGUUGGGGCCUUCGGGCCUUGGUAGCGCAGCUAACGCGUGAAGUUGACCGCCUGGGGAGUACGGUCGCAAGAUUAAAACUCAAAGGAAUUGGAC
RNAcentral lists this ribosomal RNA (568 nucleotides) under uncultured bacterium. RNAcentral's name for it is "partial 16S ribosomal RNA". It matches the Rfam family "Bacterial small subunit ribosomal RNA", at positions 355 to 915 of the family's 1533-position model. The record is from RNAcentral.